RNAcentral lists this ribosomal RNA (440 nucleotides) under uncultured bacterium. RNAcentral describes it as "partial 16S ribosomal RNA". It matches the Rfam family "Bacterial small subunit ribosomal RNA", at positions 338 to 795 of the family's 1533-position model. The record is from RNAcentral.
CCUACGGGCGGCAGCAGUGGGGAAUAUUGCACAAUGGGGGAAACCCUGAUGCAGCAACGCCGCGUGAGUGAAGAAGUAUUUCGGUAUGUAAAGCUCUAUCAGCAGGGAAGAAGAUGACGGUACCUUCGUACGACUCCCCGGCUAACUACGUGCCAGCAGCCGCGGUAAUACGGAGGGGGCAAGCGUUAUCCUGAGUUACUGGGGGUAAAGGGAGCGCAGACGGUGAGACAAGUCUGAAGUGAAAGCCCGGGGCUCAACCCCGGGACUGCUUUGGAAACUGCCGGACUGGAGUGCUGGAGAGGCAAGCGGAAUGCCGAGUGUAGCGGUGAAAUGCGUAGAUAUUAGGAAGAACACCAGUGGCGAAGGCGGCUUGCUGGACAGUAACUGACGUUGAGGCUCGAAAGCGUGGGGAGCAAACAGGAUUAGAUACCCUAGUAGUC